GGGUAGCGGAACACGUACGCAACCUUCCUUUAACUGGAGAAUAGCCCCUCGAAAGAGGGAUUAAUACUCCGUAACAUAAUGAAGAGGCAUCUCUUUAUUAUUAUAGCUCCGGCGGUUAAAGAUGGGCGUGCGACUGAUUAGAUAGUUGGCGGGGUAACGGCCCACCAAGUCUGCGAUCAGUAACUGGUGUGAGAGCACGACCAGUCACACGGGCACUGAGACACGGGCCCG
RNAcentral lists this ribosomal RNA (231 nucleotides) under uncultured bacterium. RNAcentral describes it as "partial 16S ribosomal RNA". It matches the Rfam family "Bacterial small subunit ribosomal RNA", at positions 104 to 334 of the family's 1533-position model. The record is from RNAcentral.